AUCCUUUUGUAGUUUGUAAGGGUGAUGAUUGGGGUUUCAUGCUUAUAUGUGAGACAUGCCUCCCUCAAACCUUGUUAUGUCAGCACAUUACCCAUCUGAUG
Homo sapiens (human) is the source of this 101-nucleotide small nucleolar RNA. It matches the Rfam family "Small nucleolar RNA U13". NCBI's taxonomy places the organism in Eukaryota, Metazoa, Chordata, Mammalia, Primates, Hominidae. The record is from Rfam.